UCUCUACUCCCCAAAACGAAUAAAGGAAGCAGGAAUACGGUAACUAGUGAAAAUUGAAUAUAAACUAUGCUGCCUCUCACAGUUUCAUACAGUCUUAACUAAUGGAUUUUUGUUUUGUUUUGUUUUAAGAGAAGAAUAAUGGGGAAACACGGAUCUUUUAUUUUAGGAAACUGUUAUGGUAAGAUGUAUGUCAGACUUGACAAAUGGAACUAACGCUCUUCGGCUGCUUCUUGUCCUUGUCUUAAACAGGAAUUAAGUUAAACACAGUGCUGAAUGUUAAUUACAUGUUUACUGGCUAAUGAAAAUUACAAAUGGUUUUGCCACCUCAAACAAUGAUGAAAACUCUGAAGACACUGUAAUUAUAUACUUUGAGCAAAAUAACUCAGAAUAUUGAUCAUAAGAAGUGUAAAUCUUUUUUAACUAUUCAUUAAUACCAUAAAUAUGGGCUACAGAAGUUUUUCCUUGCGGUUUGUCUCAUCAGUUAUACUGAGUGGAUGGAUGGUGAGGCUCCUCUGGGGAGGAGGUGAACUCAUUCUCUUAGUAGAAGGAGGCCACUUGUGUAACUCGGGGGUGCCCCCUCCCUUUCGCCCCCGCCCCCUUCAUCCCCAGCAGAAGGUCGAGGAAUAGUUGAACAGGAAGGCUGGACUCAGGGCAGGUGAAGAUGAUCACAGCCUGGCCUUUUCUCUCCCCUCCCUGCCCAUCUCAUUCCUCUCCCUUCUCCCUUUCCUGCCAGUUCUGAUCGAUGACUGCCUUCCCCAGCUCGGGCACCAGUGGGAUAACCUGGCAUUCGGGGGUUCCUAAUGGAGGACCAGUUAGACCAAGACACUCACCCCCCCGCCCCCCCCACAACCCAGCCGUGGAGCCCUGACAACUUCAAUUCCCUCCUUCAGAGAUGGCUCAGGCAGUUCAUUGCAAAAGAAGAAGAAAAAAAAGUUAGGGAUGGAGGUUGCUAUUGGGUAAGGUGGCUCAGGCGGCUGAACCAGAACUGGUUUCCCUGGGUUUGGGAGCAGAAAAAAUUUUUUGUUGUGGUUUUCUUUUAACUUUGGCCAAAGUUGUAGUGCUGGCAGCCACUCGGAUCUAGGAGGUCAAAGGUGAGGGCUGCACUAACCCUAAACGGCUGUCCUGGCCUGGCUACAAGGCCAAACAGGCAGGGGAGAGGGGGUUUGUCAGCCUUGCAGCUUGGCACUUUGGAGGGGGCAUCUGUGGAACCCAUACUUGGGGGGCACAGCAUCAAGUGUGGGUUUUAAGUGAAAUAUUGAGGAUUUUUUUUUUAAAAAGUGCCCUAGGCUUGUGGGACUAGAGUCCUCUUUUUCCCUGAGAAUUCCCAAGGCGCUGGUCUUUGUCUUAGAAGGAAUGGAGUUUCUGAAUGGUGUGAAAGGGACAGAGAGGGUCGCUUCAAAUCGAUUUUACUUGUCCUUUCUGUCUUUUCGGAUCAACGCCCUUCAAUGGGCACAGAGGUGCUCUUUCAACCAAAAACUUGUGCUACAUUUUCUGCCUGUAUUGGUGCUAAAUACAAUAAGCACUGGGCAGGGUUUUUUUUUUUUUUUCUUUGCUCUCCAAAGCAAGAAAGCACCCUAAUUAAAUUGUUUUAUAUGGACAGUCAAGACGGACCAAUUAAGUAUGCAUUAGUAUAAAGAUAUAGUCUGCAGAUAAGGUUGUUUAGAAAAUCACGUGUAGGACAAAGGAGAGGGCGCUAGCAUUUUGGAGAGGUGCCUAGACCCAGCAAGGUCAUGCCCCUUCCUUCUUGGGCCCCAGGGGAAUUGCAAAGGCCCGGGCCCCAGGUGAGAGGGGAACAAGCUCGCUAACAGGUGGGCGACAUUGCCCGAGACUUUCAGGCCCGAAGCCCCGGCCCAAGAGUAGUGGAGUCCGAGGGUCGGGAUUCCUCACAUCUUACUCGGGCAACGUAGCAGACCGAGGUAGCGCUCCCGUAGGACGCAGCGGGACCCCGCAGUGCCCUACUCCAGGUCGAGCCUACUGCCCGAUGUCCCAGGUCCCGGGUGCGGCCCUGCAAUAAUGAAAUCGUCUGCGCCCGGGGAAGGCCAGGAGGGCCAGGGGACACAGACGGUGUCACGGCCGCAGCCCUCUCACAGCCACUAUCAGGGCAGGAGGCCUCCACCUAACACUUCCAAGCUAAGCGCUUUUUCUGAUCUUAGGAAAGAGGAGGAGUUUUUCUGCGAGGAAAGUAACGCUUCCACCCGACGCCAUCCGGCCCGAUGGACGUCGAGGAUCAGUCUCCAGAGUAGGAGAAAGGCCGACGGGUCGGAGAAAGGGUAGCAGGGAGAGCGGCUCGUCGUCCAGCUGAUGCAGCUCUGGGCUUCUCCACCCCCUCUCCUCCCUCAGAGGUGUGGGCGGGCGGAGAGCAUCUCUCCUCGAAGGAGGCGACCCCCAUAGCAGGGGCCGGGGCCUCCCCGCGUCGCGGCUCAGGGCUGUGAUAGGUGGUCCCCGGGCCGAGGGGGCGCGAGCGCCGCGCGUUGCUGCUGGAAGGGCUCGCAGGGCGCACAGGGCAACCCUUAGCAGGGCGGGAGGGAGGAGUGGGGGCGAGAAUUAGAGCCUGGGGAAGUGGCUGAAUGUCAAAAGUAAAAGGUUGAAAAGCCAAUUUUCCAGGCGCGCUUUCGCCCCCCUUAGCUGGUUGCAGGGGCCGUAAAUCAGCGGCCGGCGGCGAGGGCGGGAGGAGCCCCCUCGGCGAGCUCGGCGCGGCCCCGCCCGGACCGUGCGCACCUCCCGGUGGGCCCCGAAUCGAUCCGAAGCCCAGCUAAGGAUGUCACCGCACUAAAUAUUUACUGAUCACACACAAAUAGCCGGGGCUCGAACGAUUUUCCUCUGUGAGGAGAGCGCGGAGAGAAGGGUAAAUCAUUUUAUUAGUGUGGAUAAAGCCCAGAGCACACUCCGGGCUGGAGUGUUUUAAGAUGUGUCUUCAACAGGAUGAAAAGAGUUAGGGAAAUCGAUACCGAGUGAUUAGAAGCCCCCCGGGUGACGAAGGGGGACUGGGCUUUCAGGGAUUUGGCGAGGCCGAGAGGGGGGAGCAGGCCUCAAGGGGGGCGGCCCGACCACCGCCAGGGAGCUCCCCGGCUCAGGCCUCCGUCCCUCCCUCCUCGACGGGAGACGCGAGGGCGCAGCGAGCUGCAGGGAGUCCACUGCGGCCAGGCUUCGUGGUGCCGGCGCCGGGUGAAGGCUGCGCGGGCCGCCGCGGGGCCGAGGGCUUGAGAGCCACUGGCUUCACGCCGCGAGUGGCAGAGGCCAGGCAGCCGCGGGAGUGGAUUGCACGGCGGUGUGGGAACGCCGGCAAGUCCCCCACACGCAGUCUCUCCAGACAGCCUCGGGGAUUAAAGGUGUGGCCUAAACGGGUUGCAUUUCUCCUGCUGGCAUUUCGGGUACUCCUCCCAGCCGCGACCCGAUGCACCCUCGAACUUUCUCCCGGAGAAAUCUCUACCCAUCCUGUCUUUUAAUAUUUUUCAAGAGGUCUCAAUGGCCCAUCCCCGCCAGCUGCCCCUUCCUCCCACCCACUCGGUGUCAGGGGCGGCCGCCGGGUGGCAGAACCCGCUGGGGACUGCCGGGAGAGUGGAUUCCAGGUUCCCUGCUCGUGGGCAGGUGGGACGACAUCUGAGGCCGAGGAGGAAGGCAGGGGGCUGGGUGACAGACACCGAGGAAGCCCCAGGACGUCUGCGUCCUCUCCUAGGCGGGAACUCAGCUUUGGGGGUAUCAGGCCACCCCCAGCGAUGGAAACCCGCCCGGGGCCCUUGGCUGGGUACUGCGAACCCAAGUGGCCAAGGAGUAAAGGCUGGCAGGGCUUGACGAAGUUAGCAAGGCUUUGAGGGGAGUUUGCUGGGAGGGAGAGCAAAACCCCCAAACUCAAGCAGCGAAGUCCUGGCGCGAAAAUGGCUUUUCACUUCUCCAAGCGCAAGUCUCUCUCGCUACUGUGAACAAACCUUGAGGUUCGAAACAGCUGCAAAUAAUCAAGUAGGCGCAAAUUUCGGGAGGGGAAAGGAGGGGCAAAAGGUCCCAGUUCCUCUGGGAAUCAUCCUGUAUGCAACAUCUUCACAAGAGUGGCAGGCAGUUGAAUCUCUGGCCUUCGUGGGACCACUGGACAUCUGGCAGAGAACCAGGAAACCACGGUUCCCUUCUGUGAGUCCCUCAGCCGGAAAACUACAAGAUCCAAAUCCUGUCUUCACUGGCUUCAAGAAUCCUGUCUUCACUGGCUUCAAAACUGGGAUGAAGGAGGCUCCUUAGUGGAGAGCAAAGCAAAGAGAUGAGUGUAAGGCCAUUAUCAUGGACUUUUUCCCCAGCUGCAGGUGAUGGUCUUGUUUUCCCAAGCUGCUACAGAGCUUCUGCAGCUCCAAGCAUGACCACUAUAUUUGGCUGCUUAAAAGCAUGACAAGGGCAGAAAUCAUAAAGGCUUUGCCCAGAGGGCCUUGAUUGUCCUUGCCUUUUGUCCUUUGGUGAGAACUUCAUUGGUGGUGGCUCCAAAAAUCAGGAGACUUUCUGUGAUGAAUUCACCAUAAGAACGUGGGACCCAGCCUCCCUUGAAGGACGUAAGUACCCAAUAUCUGAAGAAAAUUGAGGGUUUUUUUUUGUUGUUUGUUUGUUUUUUGAGACGGAGUCUUGCUCUGUCACCCAGGCUGGAGUGCAGUGGCGUGAUCUCGGCUCACUGCAACCUCUGUCUCCCAAGUUCAAGCGAUUCUCCAGUCUCAGCCUCCCGAGUAGCUGGGAUUACAGGCGUGUGCUACCACUCCCAGCUAAUUUUUAUUUUUAGUAGAGAUGGGGGUUUCACCAUGUUGGCCAGGCUGGUCUUGAACUCCUGAUCUCAGGUGAUCCACCCACCUCGGCCUCCCAAAGUGCUGGGAUUACGGGUGUCGGCCACCAUGCCCAGCCCCUCCUGGCUUUUGUAUAAUUGCAUUUGAUUCAGCUAUAGGGUCUUGUAUGUUAUUGUUUAUACAAGUCAACUGCUUGGUUCCAUUUUUCUUUUCUGUUCUCCAUUUGGUUGGUUUUAUAAUGUACAAAUUCACAUCCAGAUUGUAUAUAUUUUUUCAUCUAGUAAAUGGAUAAACUUAUGGUGAGAUUUUAUUAGACUUUUUUGAAACUUCCAAAAAUUUUAAAUUGCAUUUACUGCUUAAAGGAAUAAUUUGAGAUAUAACUCAAAUCAAGAAGUACUCUAUUUAAGAGAGAUUCAUAUUAAAUAUUUUUGGUAAUGCUUCAUAAGGGAAAUGUAAAAUUCUACUUGAUUUAAAUAGUAUUUGUUACCUUUCAAUUUUCUCAGCUGCACUUUCUCAGUUUACACUCUAAUCUUUUACCUGGACAAUUCCAGUUGCUUCCUAACUGUGCAAUGUACACAUCCUGUUGCUGACCAUGGGAACUCUCUAAAGCACAAAUAUGAUGCUCUCUUCCUGUUUGAACUUUCAAUCAAGGUUACUUGCAAAAUCAGCUUCAUAGUUCUUGGUCUAAUGCCUGAGACCCUGGCUGACCUUGCAACUACCUUCCUUUACAGCUUCAAAAGUUGCUACCUCAAAAAAACCCUCCAAGUUUUGGAAAAGUACUUUAAGGAUUAACCUAUUGUAGGCAUGAGGAGUUGUCUGUGGUUCCCCAAACAUCCCAUGUUCUUUCAAGUUUCCAUGCAUUUGCACAUUCUGAUACUACUGUCUGGAUUAUGAUUUUCUACCUAUCCUGCCUUAUAGGAGAAUUUAUUUAUUUCUCAAAAUGCAAAUGUUCUCUCCUCAAUGAAGACGUGCUAAAACUCAUCUUUAGCCCAUUUCCAAGUAGCCAGCAGUUAACACUUUUGUAACACUGUGCAUGUAUUUCUAGUACAGGAUCUAGAUCUGUACAUUGCAUGUACCUUUAAUAUAAACUCUAACCCCCACAUUAGAUGAGAUUUCGUUGUCAGGGCCUAAGGCAUGAGAAAGAGAACUGGUUAGCAGGCUGUCAGUAGGAAAUAGAAAGCUAAGCAGGGUAGUUCUUCUUUGUGACUUUUGAAGACACUGGACAAGUAAAUCUGAUGAAGAUAGACUUGGGUUCAAACCAUGGAUUGAGCAUCAUGCAUUUCACUCACAUUAUCACAUUUACAAAAUGCCCAUAUCAUAUGAUGGGUAUUUCACUCAUAUAUCUCAGAAAAAUCUAUUCUAUGGUUUGUGGAGGUAAUAACUGUUUUAGAAGCAGAAUUUUAAUGCAAAAUUGAUAAAUUCUUGUAUGCAAAUUGUAAUAUUUAAAGAAUUUCCACCAUUCUCCACACAUUACUGGGACUGGAUAAUUAUCUGAAAGGCAGAUUCUGGUUUUGAAGGUCUAGACAACAGCGUAGUAGACUUUCUUUUUAGUGCUUACUUUGAUUAUCAUUGGCUAUCUAACAUUAAUGUAAAUAAGAAUUAUAAAAAAUGAGAAAACGUGUUUGUUUUAUUUUAGGGGUAACUGAAAGUAUCUUUUGAAAGGGCAGUUUAAAUAUUCCCAACCUUUAUAUUAUUAAAAUACACUGUGGUGUCUUUCUCUUUAUACUCUGAGCUUGUUGGUAGCAAACCCAUUUAUCUUUGUUGUCUUCCUAACCUAUAGUAUACUGGCUUGCAUUUAUUAUCCUUCUGAUGUGAGUGUUUCUGGAUCCCACAAAAACAUAGGUUGGGGUAGUUUUGGGAGACAAUUAAGCAAAUGAAGCACACCUCUUCUGCUGGGCUGCAGUUGGAUGAUCCCAGCUCAUGCAUUUGGGGAGCUGGUGUAGUGAUACAAAUUUUAGAGCCAGAAUGCAGGGUUUGAAUUCCAGCUCCGUUACUUACCAAUAUGUGCUACCAGGAAAGUCAUGUAACCUCUUUUUGCCCUGAUUUUGUCUACCAUUAAGUAGGGAUAAUACCAAUUACUAUCUCUAAGAAUCUUGAGAAGAUUACAUGUGUUAAUACAUGUAAGGUGCUUGGAACAAUGUCUGACACAUCAUAAAUAUCAUCGAAGUGUCAGCUCUCACUUUAUUGGUUUCAAGUCUUCACAAUCAGCCUCCUUUGUCCUAAGGUCAUGCUACAUUUUGUAUAAAUGUUUCUUAUGGGACAAAAUGCUCCUGUCUGUUUAGGAGUGUGGGUGUGAGUGUUUAAAGACACUGAUGACUUUUGCCCUAUAAUGGAAAUUCUCUGCACCAAAAGAGCCAGAAGAUUGCAUUAUACGUUUAUAAAUUCACAUCAAGUAAAAACAGAGAGGGAGAUGGAUCCCAAAGGACAUAUUAUCAGAAUCGGGCUCCAGAUGGAGAAUUUAUGUGAUUUGAUAUAAGUUUAAAUACAGAGUUGUUUUACUCCAAAGCUUAAGAGGAAGGAAUCGUUGUGGUCAUUGCUAGUUACAUUAAUGGAAGGAGUCUUCCCCAUUUUUAAAACUUAAGUGAUGGUAACUAUUGGCAGAAUUUGUCAUUCAUCUCAACCAGGUUUCUAACGCUUACUCUUAAAUUCCCUCUUUUAAUAUUUAUUUUUUAAAGUUUUAUUAUGCAUAAAAUCUAUUUUUUAAUAAGUUGAAAAGAAUUGGAGUGGGAGGAAAUCAGAGCUGUCAUGGGAACUGGAGAAAAUGGGUGUGGGGAGGGGAAUCUGUAGAGCACGGGUGCCAGGUGUCCUGUGGAUCUCGGCCACAGCCAUCCGCCCAUCACCUCUCCUGUAUUGUUUCUAAUGGAGCAACCUAUUCACUUUUUUUUAAUCAUAUGAGAAAAAGGAUGCAUGGAAAUUCCACAAUCAGUGUCAAUGAGGUCAGACGAUAAGCAACUUUAAGUUUAAUGAGAAACUUCUACAUCAGAGGCUUUAUUUAAUUUGUUUUGUUAUUUUGUCUUACUGUGGCUUCAGAAUUUCACCCAGGAAAUGUAUGGAAGGUUUAACAAUACCGUGUUAAAUCAGUAGAGCUACAUGAUCUUUUCAGUGGAAGAGAAAAAAUAUGAUCAGGACUUGGUGGCCCUAAAUUAACUUGUUUAAAAACAGGAUUCUUAAUUUGGUUAUGAAUUUUCUUACCUCCAGUGAUGUGCUGGGAAGCGUUUAACAACUGGCACUUUGGAAUAAAGCCCUGAUUUAUGCUGUUGGCUUAUUUCCUUUUGGUGAUUUUCCCACCAUAGCCAAUUUUGACCUACCAGUGUGAUGAUACCAAAUGAAGAGUUAAAAGAGAGGUACACAGUGGGCUCUUGAGAGCCUGUUGAAUACGGCGACUACACAACACAACUCUGUUUACAUCUCAGAAAAGAUUUGAGACAGGCCAACAAAAGAGAUUGUCCUGAGAACUGGCAUAUAGAAAAAGCUCUAUGGCUUGCAUGGGCAAUGAUGAGGCACAGCAUUCAAACAGGGAAGCUGGAUCAAUCAACAUUGCCUGGCUGCACAGCAUUAGAUAGCCCAGCCAAUAUUCACUGUUGCACAAUGCUUUUUUUUUUUUUUUUAAACUAAAUUAGUGAAGUAUACAGACAUUCCUGUAGACAGCCACCUGGAUAUGUCAAAGAAAAUACCCAAAAACUGUGCCUCUUUUUUUUUUUUUUUCUUUGAGACAGUCUCUCUCUGUUGCCCAGGCUGGAGCGCAGUGGCACAGUCUUGGCUCACUGCAACCUCUGACUCCCGGUUCAAGCAAUUCUCCUACCUCAGCCUCCCAAGUAGCUGGGAUUACAGGUGCCCAACCACGCCCUGCUAAUUUUUUGUGUUUUUAGUAGAGACGAGGUUUCGCCAUGUUGGCCAGGCUGGUUUUGAACUCCUGAUCUCAAGUGAUCCGCCCGCCUUGGCCUCCCAACGUGCUAAGAUUACAGGCGUGAGCCACCGCGCCUGGCAAAAACUGUGCUUUCUUAUGGUAUAUUUUUUUCCCUUUCUUCUGAAACAUUUUUAGAUUGUUAUCUCAUUUUACUUCAUUUUGCAUCAGAAGGUUUUCACAUAGGAGUCCGUAUUCUUAGGUUUUGUAUGCUUUGGAGGAAUUCACUCUGUAUUCAUUCCCUGUGAGGUCCUAUAUGAUGCCGGUUUCCAAGGGAAGAAGCAAAGUCAAGAAACAAGAUAUCCUCAAGCUACUCUUAGGAUCAUUGUCUGCAUAGAUCUGGCACACAGAAAUGCAAGGAAACAAUUUGUGCAAAGCAUUAAAAAAAAAGGGGGGGGACACUGAGAGUAUAACAAGUGCUCCUGAGAGAGGACAGACGGAGAGGACGCGUGGGCAGGGAUCGCCGCCCUGAGCAGCUGAUGUUCGAGCUAAGAUCUGAAAGGUGCAUGAUUUCCCACUUACCUCCCGCAACCACUACCACCCACAUUGUCCACAGUAUUCAGCUGUCUCAGGGAGGAUCACAAUUAUUCUAAUGGGACUGCAAAGAGUGAAGGACACAGCUUUUAACAUCAGAUUCGAAUCCUACAAUUUGGAACCCAUGGGCACUUCUAGAUUGGAUCUUGCAGAGAUUCUUUACAACAGAAAGAAUGGAAAGGCAAAAGAAAACAUUGAGUAAUAACCAACCCAAGCAAGUCCAGCCUCUUUCUGCAGAAGGCAAGUAGUUCUAAAUGAGUUGAAUAUUUGGCAAUUUUUUUCCAUCCACACUGUUUGACUCCAUUCUGGGCCAAAAUGAUUUGUGACUAAACACAGGCAAAAACAAAGUUUAUUUUUAAUCUGUCUAGCAAUGAGGGUAUUGGCUCAUCAUCCAGAAGAGAUGUGAAUUCUUAUCCUUUAUCUAAUCUUUAACACUCUCUCUCAUACUGGGGAGUGGUGAUGGCGCAAUUUCUAGCACUGAUUUCCUAUUGAAACCGUGGUUUCCUUCAUUGUUUAUCAAAUUCUCUCCUGUCUUACCCUCAAUUCCAACCAACCCAGAGUUUUUCAUCACAGCCACUCUACUUGACAUACAUAUGAGCUUGACAAUAAAAUCCCUUGGAUAUACAUUGUGGAAGAUGGGUGCAUUUUCCAUAUUUUACAUCAUAUUCUUGUUUUUGGAUCACCAAAAUAUGAUGUGUUAUAAUUUAGAAAUUCAUUUCCAUAAAUAAUUUAACUAUAGCUGUAGACUCAUGAAACUUGGAUAUAGGCCAGACAAGCGGCUCAUGCUUAUAAUCCUAGCACUUUGGGAGUCUGAGGCCGGCAGAUCGCUUGAGCCCAGGAGUCGGAGAUCAGCCUGGGUAACAUGGUGAAAUCUCAUCUCUACAAAAAAUAUAAAAAUUAGCAGGGCCUGUUGGCAUAUGCCUGUAGUCUCAGCUACUUGGGAGGCUAAAGUGGGAGGAUCGCUUGAGCCCGGGAGGUCAAGACUGCAGUGAGCCAAGAUCACAGCACUGUACUUCAGUCUGGGUAACAAAGCGAGACCCUGUCUCAAAGGAAAAAAAAAAAAGGAACUUGGGUAUAAUUUAAGAUGGAGCAACAAAUCUGGGGUUUUACCUGGAGUCUCCUACACCAUGUGACCUUUCAAAUUUGGCCGUGCACAAAUCAUGCUGGAAAGGUAUGUUUCAGAACUUUUUCCCUAGUCUUACUCAUCAAAUAUAUUUUCCCCACAGGAAUAUCUAGUGCCAUCAAAGUGGAUAAUUAACAUUCAAGGUGCUAAGACCAUGUCUACAUGAUGAAAAGUGUUUUGGAAAAGAAUAAAUGAGUGCAUUACUAAUGAAAGAUUUUUUUUUCCUUUACAAAAAGUCACUGAAUUAUGCUAUCCAGGCAGCCCACUGUCUGAUGCAUUGAUAAAUGGAGGAAAAGACAAUCACAUUAAGAACAUCAGAACAUCAUUUGCAAUUCUUAAAGUCGGUAUUCAGAAUCAACAAGCAGGGAACUUUCUCUUAAAAUUAGAGGUAAUAACCCACCCAAUUGAGUGGCAGCAAUGUGGUCAAUUGAAGACAGAAAAAAAAGACCUAUUUUCCACAUUACGAACCUUUAGUCCAAGGAAGCGUUUUUCAAAUGAUGUUGGCUGAGACCCCGAGUAAUAAAUAUAUUUUACAUUGCAACACAAAUGCAAAUGAGUGUUGAAACAUCCAUAUAUAAUUGAAACAAAAGUUUCCAAAGUAAUGCUACUCUACUGUCUGCGAUGCACACGUAUUUUCUAUUGUAUUCUAUUUCACUUUAAAAAUAAAUGCUAGUUGCAAACCAUAAAAUUUAUACCCCUAAUGGGGGGGCUGUGGUCCACAGUUUGCAAAAACAGUUAUUUAGCAAUUAUAGUCAUCUAUACUUUUGAAAAAUGUAGCAGAUGGACUCAGAAACUUCCACAAAAAUAUGUAUUCAUAAGCUGAGUGAACUAAAGACCUCUUUAAGGAUACAGUGUGACAUACGAUAGGGGCUCAAUAUAAAUUUGAAGAAAUAAUUAAAAGAACAUAGUAGAAAAGGCCAGGCGUGGUGGCUCAUGCUUGCAAUCCCAGCAUUUUGGAAGGCUGAGGAAGGUGGAUCAUCUGAGGUCAGGAGUUCAACAGCAGCCUGGCCAACAUGCUGAAACCCGAUCUCCACUAAAAAUAUGAAAAUUAGCCGGGCGUGGUGGCGCAUGCUGGUAAUCCCAGCUACUCGGGAAGCUGAGGCUGGGGAAUUGCUUGAUCAUGGAAAGGCGGAGGUUGCAGUGAGCAGAGAUUGUGCCACUGCAUUCCAACCUGAACGGCAGAGCGAGACGCCGUUUCAAACAGCAACAGCGACAACAACAUAGUAGAAAAGAAGAAAAGAAGAAGAUACUGUGGAGAAGCCAUAACAGCAAGUGAGCAGAUAAGGCAACUGAAAUGAGCCUCAAGCAACUUAGAGGUGGCCUAGUUUUGGCAAAGAUUUUAGGCUGUUUAUAAAGCAAAAUAACAACUGGUAUGACUUUAAGUGCUAAAUAUUUUUGUAAAAAAAAUAUAGCGAGGCCAGCGCGGUGGCUCACACCUGUAAUCCCAGCACUUUGGGAGGCCAAGGAGGGCGGAUUAUCUGAGGUCAGGAGUUCGAGUAGUCUGGCCAACAUGGUGAAACCCCGUCUCUACUAAAAAUACAAAAAUUAGCAGGGCGUGGUGGCCCAUGCCUAUAAUCCCAGCUACUCGGGAGGUUGAGGCAGGAGAAUUGCUUGAGCCUGGGAGGCAGAGGUUGCAGUGAGCUGAGAUCAUGCCUGGCUGACAGAGCAAGACUCUGUCUCAAAAAAAAAAAAAAAAAAAAAAAAAAUAGUGACCAGUUGAGGAAAGUUUAAAGCCUUUUGUGAUGAAUGGAUAUGGCUUUGAAUCCCAGAUUUUCCAGUGACCAGCUUUGUCAAUGUGGAAGCUUUUUCCACCACAUCUUGUGUGGUCUUUAAUAUUGGGGUGAUGAUAUCUAGCUAACCAGGUUAUGAUGAGACUUUAUAAUAAUAACACAUGGAAGGAACAUGAUAGGGCCUAAUAGGUAGCAAACGCUCAAGAAAUAAGAAAUCUUAUUUUUUGUGUUAGAUGUUGGUUGUUUUUUUUGUUUUACCCAACUCUGACUUUAGCUUUCUUUUAUGCUGAAUGAAUCUGCCUUUCAAAAUGUUGCAUCAGACACUAACAUACCUUCUCUGCCCAAAUUGUUAACUAGCAGAUAAUCAGGAUGACUCCAUCUUUGUACCUGACUGAGGAACUUAGUGAACCCUGAAGAAAUGAUGAUUAAAGAGACAAUGAAGAGGCCAGGCGCAGUGGCUCAUGCCUGUAAUCCCAGCACUUUGGGAGGCCGAGAUCUCCGUGGGUCUUUUUAUCCUUAAGAAGUUUUGGAGGCAAGGAAGAGCAGAAAUCACUCUCCGCAUUGGAUAGAUGAAGAAAGGAGCCUCAGAGAAGAGAUUCAGAGGUUCUCCUAAGGCCACUAACUAAUAAAUGAUGACAUGAGAGUAAACUGAAGACUUGCAGUGCCAGGGUUGGGGUGGUCCUCCCUGAUGGGGGCCUUGACCUGUGAGGCCAAGGACAACAAAGGAACAGCUGUCUCCUUGCCGUGGAAGUGGCCCAGUAACCAGAAGGACUCAACUGUCAGGGCUGCAAGAACUUCCCAAGGACCCAGCUCUCUGCUGGAGCUGCAAUCAAGAAAUUGAAACACCUGUGGAGCCCCACCUCGCUGAAGAACCAGCACACCUGUCGACCACUGUCUUUCCACCUGCAGAUCCAGGAAGAAAACCAAAGCAAGGAGUAGGGAGAGGCUGUCCUCGGAGAGGCUGUUCUAGGACUGUGCUGCUCCCCUGGGUGCGCAGCCCCUGUGUCUUCCUCCCUCCUUGCGUUACCACUUUCCCUGCCCAUGAACUGAAGGCUCUCUCCUCCCUCUCCCUCUCUGCAUCUUAAAGCUGAGCCCACUAACAUAAAGCCUGGACAACUUGAUCUGCAGUGAAAUCUUGAAGACAGAGUCUGGCCUCCUCAUUAGAAUCCACAUGUUAUUGAGCCUUACCCACUGGUGCUGGCUCUGGCACAGAGAAGGCAACUUAAUACAUUAAUACAACUUAAUAAACUUGUAGAAUGAAUGAAUAUUGUCUGGAAGACACACCAAGUCAAGGGUCGUUUGACAUCUAAUGUUCAAAAACUAUUUUGUGCACCUACCAUUUAGUGGGUACUAUCCUAUUUAUUUAGGACAUGCUGGUGAAGCAAACGGAUUCAUUCUCUGCCCUUGAUAUAUUUUAGCAGGGAAUACAAACAAGUAGUUGCCAUGCAUGUGAUGGUAUGAGAUCCAACAGAUGAAAAGCUCUUACCACCUCCAGGCUCUGUGUUGCACAGAAGCACAGCCUACACUAGAGUCUUCAGUUCCGGCUGACUUUGCAAUCUGGACUUUCCAACGCCUAGUGUGAGCUAAGAUUUGGCUGCCUUUCCCCACUUCCUGCCCCAUGUAGCAGGCCUCUUUUGGCCCUGGGUAUGGAGUAUUCCUACCUCUUGGCAUAAUUCCAGUCUUAUGUAGUGACACCUGCAUCGGUGAGUGGCUGUAGCAACUAUCUAGGCCUGUCUAGAAAUUAAAGCUCUAACUCUAAACUUUGAAAGUCAGGCAAGCAACAGCAGCCCUUCCCUUUCAGGCACCUACCAGCCAUCCUGCUGAAGAUAACCUGGAUUUGCAUCUUCUGGAUGGGAUAGAAGCUGUGACUGAUACUGAGCCAUCUAGGGCAGCAGCCCCCAACCUUUUUGACACCAGGAACUGGUUUCGUGGAAGACAAUUUUUCCACGGACUUGGGGUGAGGGGGAUGGUUUCAGGAUGAUUCAAGCACAUUACAUUUAUUGUGCACUUUAUUCUAUUAUUGUUACAUUGUAAUAUGUAAUGAAAUACUUAUUCAACUCACCAUAAUGUAGAAUCAGUGAAUCAGUAGGAGCCCUGAGCUUGUUCUGCAACCAGACGGUCCCAUCUGGGGGUGAUGGGAGACAGUGACAGAUCAUCAGACAUUAGGUUCUCAUGAGGUGUGUGCAACCUAGAUCUCUCACAUGCACAGUUCUCAAUAGAGUUCGUGCUCCUAUGAGAAUCUGAUGCUGCUGCUGAUGUGGCAGGAGGUGAAACUCAGGUGGUAACGUGAGCAAUGGGGAGUAGCUGUAAAUACAGAUGAAGCUUCGCUCACUCACCUAGCACUUGCCUCCUGCUGUGAAGCCCAGUUUGUAACAGGCCACAGCCAUGGACUAACUAAAAUUGUCCCUAAGUGAAGGUGAGGAUUUCAAAGGCCAAUACAAUGUGUUGAAUGCGGAAGCACUGCAGGGUCUGGAUGCUCAAAUAAUUGUUCUUUUUCUCAAUUUUGGAAAGAAAGUUGUCAAUCUAAAAAGAGCGGUGUUGAAGAACCUGCUCAUUAGAUUAGCCAUGCUUGGCUAAAGGGGAAUGUUAUAGUACUUUCUUUUUUUUCUUGAGUAAAAUCACACUCUGGAAAUGGUUGAGUUGCAGAAACAUCUGGGGGCACUUUAUGACGUUAAUAAGAAGUUUGGCCCUUGAUGCAAGGUUAAUUUAUUUGGGAUGAAACCAUAGCUAGUUCAACUUCCUAUCAUGCUCUCCAGAAAAACCCAUGGCCUGGAAUCCUCCAGGCAAAGCUCAUUUACAUUUUGUAUCUCCCUAUAGUCAAUUCUGAAAUUCCAGUGGUCAUGUUCAGACAUAACUUACUAGAAGAGUCAUUUCAUUCAGAAACGUCUUAAUUUUAAAUGACAUCUUGAGUCUCCGGAUCUGUGCUAUGGAGACUUCUUUAUUUUGAGGUGCUCAUUCUGGUUGAGUAUAUUUAGUGUUUAAGAAAGCAAUUCAAAAGUUAAAAACUGUUUGUUUGUUUUUUUUCAUUGAGUCCCUCUGUCUGGACAAGGAAGACUCCUUCUAAUACCCUUUCUGGUGCUGCAGACUUUCAAUUUCUACUUAUAGUGUUUGUGGAUGGCAAUGGAAAAUGUAUUUCCUGCUGAGCCUGAACUGGAAAUAAAAUUUUGGAGAACUUUGGGAGAAACUGGCAAAGAUUCCACCAAGGUGCACAUCCAAGGGGGCUCAAAUAGUUGCAAAUAUCCCCUUGGUAUGGGGGUGAGCUGCAUGGUAGGAGGAGCUCCACUUGGGGAGCUGAUGGACCUGUGUUUAGAGUCCCACUCCACCAUAAUUCAUUGUUUGAUUAGCCCCUCCACAAAAAAGGGGGGAUUAUAUGGUGUUCCUGCUUGUUGAGUGAAGAUUAGAGUCUGUGAAGGGCUUCGCACAGAGCCUGGCCCAUCGCAAAGACUGGAUACGUGGAAGUGCUUAUUGUUACCAUUCUCUGCAGACAAACUCCAGGAUAGAUUUGACCUGAUUCACCUGGGGUUAUUCUAAUUUCUGUGUUGAGGAACGAGGUGCCCUGUAGAACUCAUGGUUGAAGUAAGUGCUUACACUAUACUGACCGGUUCACCAUGCUAGGUCACUGGGUGAAAUGCACUUGGAAAGUCAAGUGCUCCCUAGAAUUCUAGAUGGUUGGGGGAGGUUUGGGGAGGAACUAACUAGAAAGCGAGAUCUUACAAGUAACAAAAUACCCCAGAGAAGUAAAGGCUAGAUCUAAAAUCAAAGAUACAUUCUUUCAUUCAGUAAAUAUUUAAUUACUUAACAUGUGGUGGACCCUGCGGGGGAUAUGUGGAUAGUAGAUGCAAAAGCUACCGUCUUUACUAACACUAUUCUUUCCUUAUCUGCAACUGGGCUCAGCUAAUUUAGAAUCUUCCAUUUCCUUUCAGUAGCUAGAACGUGGGUAUGAUGGUCAAUUUUUGAAACCCAUUUAAUGUUGUCCUAGAGCUAACUCAGCUGCAUCUGCUUUAUUCGGGCGUGUCUAAUUCACUUUCUGUGUGCAGGGGAUGCCUUGGGCACAUUGUCCAGAUGCAUGGGACUGGACACCACAGAAGUCUUGCUUCACCUAAUCUUUGAGUGAAAGUGUCGGUCCUUAUUGCAUGUAUUGCAGAAGUGUCUCUGGGGUAAAGAAUUUUCCUUCCAGCACUGUUAAUGCACAGUUAAGACACUGACCCUGAGGUCUGGCUGUGAGCUUAUUCAAUCCCCAACUUGGAAAGUCAAAGCAUCAUCUUGAACUUGGUAUGUAGGAAAUAUUUGUUGUUACUAAUAGACAUGGAGAACACUAUAAUGGAUUUGAGAUGUCCAUGAGAUAUUUAGGUGUGCAUGCCUGACAGCCUUCUAAAAUGUGGGCCUGUAGCUCUAGAGAAAAGCUAGAGAUGAGGGAUGAACAGGUGGGAAGUCGUCUGUUCAGUGGUAGUAUCUAAAACCACGAGGCUAGGAGAGAUCACCAGUGGAGUGUCAGGUGGCUAGCGGAUGGGGUGAUUACUGGCCAGGCUCCACAGUAGAGACUUAGCUCCCAUGUGUAGGGUCACCCCUCCCCUGAAUCUGCAAUUCUAUCUCUUGUCAAGGAGGAAUGGGAGCAAUUUUCUGUGUACUGCCUUUUUGCCUCCUCUUAUUCUUGGUGAAGUAGUUUGCUGGAGUUCCAGUAAUUAAUUCUCAUUUUUGUCUAUUCGUGUCUGAUACUCUUCUCCAUAUGGAGUGGCAGGUGACUGGGGAAGUGCUCAGUAGUGCCCUGGGAACUCGAGUGACCACACAACACAGUAUCUUUGGUGCCGGAGAGCACAUACUAGUUUAGUAUCUAAAUGAGACUUUGGAGUCAGAUAUAGAUGAACAGUUCAGCUUCAAUAUCCAAGUCUAUACGAGACAAGAUGGUGGAAGAAGAGCAAAGUGCAAACCCAAGGGGGCCCAGAACUGUGGAACCUGUAGUUGAGAGGUUGAGCUCGGGGGAGAAGUGAGCUCCGUGGAGAUGGUUCUUCAUGUACAUUCUUUGAUUGCUUGGAGUCACCCUGAGACAGACGUUCUUGCUGAAGUUCUAGCCUAAUUCUCAACCCAAUCCCCUACUUCUUUGACUUCCCCACCAUAUCUCACUUUCCUCCAGAGAUUGUGAUUGUAAAACUCUGGUCCCCAUGGCGAUUUUCUGCCCCUUACUUUUCAGACCUUCCUGGAAAUUACUGCCUACCAGUUUAGGCUUUGACCUUGGCCUGUGCUCCUCGCUCAUGGACCCUGCUUAGUUUCAUCUGUUGCAUUUCCAUUGUCAAGGCCUUACCCAGGCCUAGUCUCUGUUUCUGGGACGUCUUCUGGAAUGGCACUCCUGGCACUGCGGGUAUACCGCAUCUUCUAGUGCUUGCUGUAUGAAUGUAAACUCCAUCUUCCACUUUGCGUUUGGAGGUCCCUGUCAGCCAAGGGCCCUUAUCUUUGUUGAGAACUGUGUGUGUGCUUAAUGUCUCAAAUGCCUGCAAAGUAGAAUUGUAGUUCUUAUUUUGUAGGCUACAAAAGAAGGCUCAGAGAAGUUCAGGAGCUUGCGCAAAGUCACAGAACAGGAAGUGGUGGGUGCUAGGAUUAACUGUCAGAUUGGUUUGGUUCCAAAGCCCAUUCUCUUUCCAUAACUAUGGGUGGCUUUCAAGGAGGUAUGAGGAAGUAAGAAAGGUAAGAAAGACAGUGGCCAGGAAGAGUAGACCAGGAGCCUAAGAUCUUUACAGUGACACAGUUUGUGAGUAACUAACUUCAGGGAGGUGGGCUUGUUAAUAAACAGAGUGGAGAAACUGGUCACAAGUACAGAAGGGAGUCGAGGGACUCCCUUCUGUCAGCAUGAAGCUUAUCAUAAUUAACAAACUCUGCUCUUCCAGAUUUAAAAUCAAGAUGAAAUUAAUGUUUCCCUUAGAAAUGCGUGCUGUGGUCCAGGCGCGGUGACUCAUGCCUAUAAUCCCAGCACUAUGGGAGGCUGAGGCGGGUGGAUCACAAGGUCAGCAGUUCAAGACCAUACUGGCCAACAUGGUGAAACCCCAUCUCUACUAAAAGUACAAAAAUUAGCUUGGUGUGGUGGUGCAUGCCUAUAAUCCCAGCUACUUGGGAGGGUGAGGGAUGAGAGUCACUUGAACCCAAGAAGUGGAGGUUGCAGUGAGCUGAGAUUGUGCCACUGCACUUCAGCCUGGUGACAGAACAAGACCCUGUCAAAAAAAAAAAAAAGAAAAAAAGAAAAAGAAAAAGAAAAGAAAGAAAGAAAAAAAGAGAAAUAGAUGCUGUGCUGGAAUGAGGAAUAUUGAAUUCACUUGGCUUUGGGAUACAGUCUUGUUACUUCCGGGUCCUGGAGGCACACAUGCUAUGUAUAUUUGUAACAGAUUCACACACGUGAUUGGGCCAGUAAUCUUGACCACAACCUCCAGGAAGUAUGAACUUAACAUCUGUAAGAAAAGCACAAAUGUUGCUUCUCUGGUUAGCUGUGACUAGUAAUGGCUCCACUUUGCUAGAAGUUCCUGAUGUAACACAUCUUAAUCCAAAAUACGCCUCCCCCCUACCCCCAGUAUAUGGAGAAUAGCUAACAUUCUUCCUUUUCCACUUAGAAGGUGGAUUAGUACCACCUGUCUCAGCUAACGUUCAUGGGAUUCAGCAGGAAAAACAGUAUUAUGAGGGGAAAGCUUCUUUGAAUGCAGUAUUUUAGGAUUAUUUCUUUGGUUGCUAAACUGCUACCUUUGUAUUGAAAGGCGAUGAGACAUUUUCUGGCUGAGAGACAGAGAUAUCCUAGAAAGGUGUCAAGUUAAAAGAGGGCCGAUGAAAAGAUUUGAGCCACAGCCAUCGGAGGAGGGUAAGCGAUUGAUUGCAGGCAUUGCUUACAUUUUCUUCCCACUGCUACAGUUGAGGGAAGGAUUGUGGUCAUCACCUUGCUGCCCCAUCCCACCCCUUCUUCUGUGGAAGGUAUUACCAUGGGCCAUCAUUCCAACUGGAUCGUUGCCAUCCACCAAGGCUGCUCAAUGAUUUUCUCUGUAUAGGGAAAAGGUGGAAGUUACAGUGCCUCAAGAUUCAAAGAGCUGUCUCCUUUGAACUAGGAGUCUCCUUUGAGCCGGAGUCCUGCAGCUCGCUCUUGGCUUUGGCAUUCAACGGGGAUGGUAUCAUGGGCUGGGCAUUUAACCUUUUGCUGUCUGCAUUUCCCCCGUUCUUAAAAUGGAGGUAAUUUAAUUCUCUUGCAGGAGAGUUGGGAAGAUUAAUGAGUCAAUGUUUGGUGAAGUGCUUUGAGAUUCUCAGAUGAAAGGUGCUACAUAAUAAUUACAAUAACACUUUGUUCUUACAUAGUGCCUUUCUUCUAGGGAGCUCAAACUGCUUUAUAAAAUUAUUUCAUUAAUCCUCGCAGCAUCCCUCUAUGGCAGGUAGUAAUUAUAUCCCCCCCAUUCUCAUAUCAGCAAUCUGGGGCACAGAGAGGCAAACUGACCUGGCCAAGGUUACACAGUAGGUCACUGAUAAAAUCAUCAGUUGAAUUCAGAUCUGAUUCAUUCAUUUGUUUGUUCCCUCAUCCACCAAUAUUUACCCAUGAUUAUAUGUCUGACACUUGAGCUAUUGGAUAAAAGAGGAUGUGAUACAAAGUUAAAUGAAAUACACUCUCUUUGAAGAGAUUUAGUCCGGUUGAACAUGUGCAUAAAUCAUUAUAAUAAAAUAUAGCAAUCAUAUAAUACAAUGGAUUGAUAGAAACAAACAUGCAUCUAAAGUAGGCAAAAAGAAACAAGAAAUCUUAGUUUUACUAAAGAGAUAUCAUAUGAGUGAGCUUUCUCUUGAGCAGUGAGUUCACAAAUAGAGAAAAAGAAGUUGAAGAAACAUGCCUCCGAUAAGAGAAGGAAGGACCAUGAUAAAUGCAGGGAGUGAGAUCCACUUGGCAGAGUGGGAGCAAAGGGUUUUUUAGACGGGGGAGUAGGCUAAGAAAUUUGAACUUUAUGCACAAGGCGAUUGAGAAGCAUUGGAGCUUGUUCAAGUAGAAGGAAUGAGGUCAGCUUUAUAUUUAGACCAUUAGCUCUGGUAGCCGAAUAGUAGCAGGUUUGGAUGUGGAAGAGACGUGAGACCAGAAACCAGGAAGACAGGUCUCUGACUCAAAGUCCAGACCAGUCACUGGGUGAUUCUUCUCAACAGUUUUAUGAGCUGGAGCUCCAGUGUUGUUUUGAAAUUCUGCAUGUGGCACUUCGUGAAAACAGUGACAACAAUGGUCUUUCAUGGAUAGUCCAUUUUCUCAAUUCAAGAAACAUACAAAUUAAAAAAAAUUAUCUAUAAUUCAGCUUUUCAGUGAUGGUACAGUGAGCAAUUGUCAUUCUUCUGCCCUGAAAUCCAUCAGGCAAAAUGGUUGAGUCUACAUCAAUUACUUAUUAUAAUAGAAAGUAAGCCUUUGUUAUAUUAUUUGUUAAGUAUCUCUCCACAUUAGAUACGUGAGAAUGAUCUUCAAUGCAAAAGUAUUCAUUUUUAUUUCACGUGAUAAACUAGUCUGUGAUUAGACAUAUUUAUUUUUAUUUUUUACCCGUGAUUGUAACUAUAGAGUCCAUUUUAAGAAUGAUUUCUUGAUGACUUGUAUUUUUUUUUCUUGUCAAAAUCUCUGUUAAGUGUCUGACAGAGAAAAUAUUCAAAUCACUUUGCCUACAUUAGAGGUUCUCAAAAUGUUUUUCAGGUAUGGAUGGCUGCAAGCCUACCUGUUGAAGAGGUAGGUGCACUUGGUCCUCAGAAUGACAGCUACUCAGUACCAGAUCUCUUUGUCUUCAUUAUUCAUGGAUAAUCAUGAGCUGGGAAAAGUCACAAUAUUCUAUGAAAUAAAUCCUGACACAUGGCUGGUUAAGCUAUUCUGCACCUUGUGGACAUACAGUAAAUGCAUCUUGAUUACCUGGCAAUGAACUCAUUUAGCCAUUUUUUUCUUUUAGCCCCAGUUGCUUUAUAAAGAGUACAUUAUCUUUGUCAUUGAGUUUGCUGAGUGAAUCAGUUAGGAUAGGCAUGAUUGUGCUACAGUAAUAAACAUCCCUAAGUAUCAGUGACUAACAAGAAACGUCUAAUUCUGGCUCAUGCAAAGUUCAUUGUAGAUCUGAAUGUCUCUCCAGCAUGCUAUCUUAUAGGUGGUUGAUCUGAAAUUCACCUUCCUGUCAAUAUGCACUUUAGUGAUUGCCAAAGCAGUAAAAGAGGGAAUUCAAACAAUGGCAGUUAAAAGCUUCUAAGAAGUUCCACUCCUCAUUUCUACGCACAUUUCAUUGACUAAAGCAAGUCACUUUUUUAUUAUUAUUAUUUUUAAAAUUGAGUCUCGUUCUGUCAUGCAGGCUGGAGAGCAGUGGUGUGAUCUCAGCUCACUACAACCUCCCCCUCCUCGGUUCAAGUGAUUCUCCUGCCUCAGCCUCCCAAGUAGCUGGAACUACAGGUGUGUGCCACCAUGCCUGGCUAAUUUUUUUGUAUUUUUAGUAGAAAUUGGGUUUCACCAUGUUGGCCAGGCUGGUCUCGAACUCUUGACCUCAGUUGAUCUACCUGCCUCAGCCUCUCAAAGUGCUGGGAUUUACAGGCAUGAGCCACUGUGCCCAGCUGCAAGUCACAUUAUCAUGCCUAACUUCAAGGAGACAAGGAAUUACAAUCCUCCCAUGUGCCCUCAAGAGGGGAACAAUAUGUUUGCCACGAGUCUUUUCUGCUGCUCUUUGAAAGUUACUAUUUUGUUCUUUGAAAAACAUCACAUAUUUCCAUUUACAAAACUUGUAUUUUAAUAUUUGAAAAUCAAGUAAUUUAUUCUUGAUGGCGUUCCUGGAAGAUGUACUGGUAUUAUUAAUCCUAUUGCUUAAAUAUAGCCUACAAUAUGAAACUGUUUAUUGGUUAGUAUCUCUCACCUAAUAGUAAGCUUUUUAAUGGUGAGAAGGGGUAGGAAAUAGGACUGAUAUUUUUUUCUGCAUUCCCAUCACCUAGAAGAAGGGCUGACAUGGAGAAGGCAUUAAACAUUUUCCCACAUAUUGUGGCAUUAGCAAUUUUUACUUCAUAUACAUUUGGAAGAAGACAUAGACAGGUAAGCUGAACUGACUUUCCUCUAAGGAGAAAAAAUUCUAUUUUAUCACAGGAGAAAAUAUUUCAGAAUAAUUUCUAUAGUUGGACUUCUGAUGUGUUUUCUAAUUAUACCUUAAGAAAAGCUAAAGUAUCUAAGAAAACAAAAUAACUUUUGGAAACAUUUUCCUAACUUUGGAAAGAGUUUUGCUUGGGGUAGAGUGAAGUUCGCUGGGCCUGACAUGGUGGGGAGAUUACAUGGAAAUCCUACCUUGUAAAUGAACUCAGGUAACCAAUGAAAGGGAAUGCUAGACUUCCUGUGAAGUGUAUUCUAACUCAGUUUCUUAGGGAUCAUUAACAGAGCUGUUUUUCAGUAUGUACUUAGGCAUCUUAAGUCCAUAAAAAAGCUAUACUAGAGGCCGGGGGCAGUGGCUCAUGCCUGUAAUCCCAGCACUUUGGGAGGCCAAGGCGGGCGGAUCACGAGGUCAGGAAUUCGAGACCAGCCUGGCCAACAUAGUGAAACCCCAUCUCUACUAAAAAUGCAAAAAAAAAAAAUUAGCCAGGCAUGGUGGCACAGCUGAGGCAGGAGAAUUGUUUGAACCUCAGAGGUGGAGGUUGUGGUAAGCCGAGAUUGUGCCACUGCACUCCAGCCUGGGCAACAGAGCGAGACUCCGUCUCAAAAAAAAAAAAAAAAAAAAAGCUAUACUAUAAGAAAAUUCUUUAGCUUUAGCCCACUUGUCUUCUUGAAUUUUAUUCGCAUAUUUCUAGUAAUUCCUUCUAGUAUACUUAAAAUACUUCUUCCUCAUUGGCAAAAGCAUCCUUUGUAGGUUUCCAGCAUGUUCAUCCCUAUUAGUUGCUAUCCUUACUUGGGGUCUAUAAUCUUUCCUUUGUGCCCUUUGUGUGCCAUGACUUUCUGGUCACCCGCUGGUAUAUUCGAAUCAUUCUGACACAGAGAGCAUUAACCCUACAGUUGUGUGAUGUUGGUUUGAGGUUCUUUGUGUAAAGCAUGAAUAAAGUUGAUUUUUCUACUACUUUAGAACAUCAAUAUCAUAGAUUCAUUGGAUCUACUUGUAUCUGCAUUUUAGAUGGUCUGCUACUGAAGUCUUGCUGUUUAAAAGGAGCUGCUGUUGGCUGGGUGUGGUGCCUCAUGCCUGUAAUCCCAGCACUUUGGGAGGUCGAGGUGGAUCACGAGGUCAGGAGUUUGAGACCAGCCUGGCCAACAUGGUGAAACCCUGUCUCUACUAAAAAUAUAAAAAUUAGCUGAGCAUGGUGGCAGGUGCCUGUAAUCCCAGCUACUCAGGAAGCUGAGGCAGGAGAAUCAUUUGAACCCGGGAGGUGGAGGUUGCAGUGAGCCAAGAUCACACCAUUGCACUCCAGCCUGGGUGACAGAGCAAGACUCCGUCAAAAAAAAAAAAAAAAAAAAAAAAGACGGUUUUCUUCCACUGACUUCAUCCUUCAUUCUGAUAAUACUUUACAUUAGGAAAGAAUAGAUUAUUUGCAACUAGAGGCUACUGUGGUGGGUUCCAUGGUAGGUCAACAGGUUCCUUCUUGGUCUGUCUGAGACUUUAGGGAAUUUUCAUUCUUUACUUAUUUUCCUGGAUCCUGAAAGGAGGUAAGGAGUCAUGGCAGGAAUUAGAAGACAAGUGAAAGCCACUUUUUGUUAAGUAGGCACUAAAUGUGGAGGGGUGAAAUCAAAGAUUCCAGGGAUGCUAUGCUUACACACCAGGUCUGCCAUUCUAGCCCCGUGCUUUGUGUAUGUCAUAGUGUGUAGUUCAACGAAGACCAGUCCUUUGAAGAACUCAAAGGGUAAAAGGCAGGAGCUCUAAAAUGCAAGGUGUUUUCUUGUUUAAAGUUUCUGGUCAAUAUGCCUGAAUAUCUAAGGGAUGGCCAAGGGUGUUGGCAUAGGAGUAGAAGUGGAGGAGGGAAAAGAAGAUGGAAUGGUUUCAAGAAGUUAUAGGCAGUCAGGGGACUCCUACCUGAAUCCCAGAAGGUUGUCAGAUGUUGCCUUAAGGGCAUUUUAUUUUAGUUAUAGGUUUGGAAGAGUCAUUUUAGCGUUGUUUCAACUUUUCUGGGGGGUGUGAGGAAUAGGGAGACAUGGGGAAAUAGAAAAAGCUAAGAAAUCAGAGCUUCACUGUUUUUUCUUUUUAUUUUUUUUAAAGACGCAUUUUUCUCUUUUUCCAAAUUAAUGUAUAUUUGAAAACUUUGGCUUCUGGGUGGAUCCCUCUGGAUCUUGUCUAAUGAGCAUCCAUGUAUUUGAAGUGGUAUCAGCAUGCACACACCUUAUGCUCUGCCUUUUGUUUUACUGCAUGCUAGUUCAUAUAUUCUGCAUGUCAAUAUUGUUCAGUACUAGUCAUUUUUAAUAGCUAUCUGUGUUGUGGCUAGUUAAGCUACUACAUUUGAGUUGGCCUGUGCCUAAGUUUUUACAGUUGAUGAUCUUUCUGAUUUUAAAGAUUGUAUAAACUUACAUAAUGUAAUGUAAAGUGUUUGCGUUGGUGUCUAAAUUAGAUGCUGGCUAAGGGUUGCCCUCUUUUCUUUCCUUUUGGUUCCCAAUUGGAUGCAGCCCCCAAACUUUGAGAUUUCUGACUCCCAGCGCUCAUCUCCAACACCAUCAAUCCCAAGAAGGUGAUUUUCAUAUAAUAAUUUUCUGCUCAUAGUUUUAACCUCUUUUGGUGCGUUUCUAUUAUUUCUUUGUCCUUACUGGUGGUUACACCAGCUCCCAGUUUAAUAUCAUUUGCACAUUUCAUUAAUAUGUGGCUUACUCCCUCUUCGAGAUCCUUAAUAAAGAUGUUAAAUUAGAUUGUAUCUGACAUUGACCCCUGGGGCACUGCAAUACUUUAACGAUAUCCCGUUUUCCUGUCUACAGUCUAUAGAGUUCUUGCAGAAUGUGCGAGGAGCAGCUUCAACCUGGGAUAAAUCUUCAAUUUUAAUUCUAAAGCAGAAGUCAAGUCAUGUGGUUGGGGAUAACUUGACAUUGCCAGAACAUACUUGUAGCUGCUAGGAAGUCAUAUUUUAGCAAUUAAGUACAGGUUUGCCAGAAUUCUAUGUCAGAUUGCCAAUCUGCUGACAAUUUCAAGAGAUAGUCUCUCUGUCCUGCUUACUGCAUUUCAGUCAAACUGAGAAGGGUCUUGUUUUAAAAAAAAAAAAUGAAACUAGGCUUUUUUAUUUUAAGGCUUGCAAUCACCUUUCACCAGGUUUUAAACAGCAGGCUUCUUCUGUGUUUCAAAGCAGAUUUGUUAAAGGAACGGUUGUACCAAUUCACCAACGUAGGCAGAAUUCAGGGAAGCACACCAAGUGCCCCACUGAGAGUCCAGACGUGAAAGCCACUUUCAAAUUUCAAGAAUUUACAGCAAGUUCUUCUUUCAAAUUGGAAACAUUUAUUUUUUUCUAAAUAGCAAAGGUAUAAUACCCUAUGAUAUUUUUGGCACAGAAUUUAACUGUCUCAUCAUAUUUGAUUUAAUCAGAGACAUCUAUAUAUUUAUAUCAGAUGCAAAAUUUUUUCAAGUGAAUUGAAGAAUAAUAUCUUAAAAAAUUAGGUUGCAUUAUCAAGUAAACUACAAUGUCUAUGAAAUGCAAUUGACUAUGGUUAAAUGAAAUAUAUUCUUUAAUCAUAUACCUGUAAAGUCUUCUAAGUCCCUCCAAAUUAUCAACUAUCUUAAACGUCACAUGUUAGACGUUCUCAUCAAUUUCUCUUGUUCUGCCUUAAAGUAAACUUCGUUAGCUUUGCAAAGAUUUUGAUCUCCUCUUGGACAUACAUAUUAAGACAAUUCCUUAGAUUUUAACAGAAAGAGAAUGAUUAAAAGAACACACAUAACCAGAACUUGAAACUGGCCCAAUAAAUACAAUUUUUUUUUUUUGGAACUGUAAGCAUGACUAAAAGUGCAUUUUGGCAUCAAACGCAGAAGGUUAUGUAUGUUCUACAAGGUGAUGGAGGAAAGACGCGCAUGUGGGGGUCCUCCCUUCCAAAGGGUUUUUUCACGUGUGUAUGACUCAUUGUGUCUUGGAAAAUACAGUUUCACCCAACUGGUUCCUUGUAUUUGGGAACCUGAAUUCUGAAGCACCCGAGUGAAAUUCUCAAUGUCACCUCUACUCUCUCAUUGCCCUACCCAACUCCACGAAGAAUGACUGACCCCACCCACUUUAAGAAGUAAACAAUGAUUUGGGCAGUUCAGCCAAGAAACCAAAACAGAUCAAUCUCUGUGUGUAAUGAAAUGUUUAAAUUAGUAGUGUUUGAUUGGGUUGAGAUUUGAUGGUAGAAUUUAGAUAGUUCCCUCAAUUCCUGGCUUCUAUUUUGGGUGAACAAUAGGAUAUCAGAACAUUAUGUUAUACUCUCCUGACCUCAAGGAUCUAAUAGUUUAAUGGGCAAGAUAAGGGUUGUGUAAGGAGGAGUUAGAAUCAGAUGAGAUGAUGCACAGUUUGAUGCAAAAGCAAAACAGAGAAGGAGGCAAUCAGUGUGAGAGGAGCUACUAUUUCCGAGGCCUGGCCUUUGGCGCUCGGGUCUCCUCCUCUUAUACCCUUUUGCUGCUUCGAAAUCUGUUUAUUUGUCUAGCGUCUUUUCCCUUGAGCUUUGAGUUCUUUUAUCCAACUGCCUACUAAACAAUGCCACCUUAAAACCCAGGAAACCCACAGGGACAACCUGGUGGUGGAUCUUUCUCUUUUACUCUGUGCCGUGCUUAACACACUUCCUGGAGUAAUCCAGCUUCAGUGUGGUAUACUCAAACCAGUCAUCCUGCAAACAUAGCUGUAGAUGUUCUGGCUUCCGUAUGCUGUUGAAUCUUUAGCCAAUUAAUUUUGCCAAAGCACUUUUGGUGAAGUUUGUAAUACAAGGUAGACAUUGACAGCUGUUCUAGAACCACUCCAAGCAUCAUCAUGCUCUGUUGAUCUCAGUCAUUCCACCUCGCAAAAAUGAGAUGUUCCUGCUGUAACUUCUUCAUUCUUCCUUCUCUGCAAGAACAAAUGCCAGGCCCAAAUGUUUCCUUCUUGUUUCUAGAGGUGGAGAAACACUUUGUACACCAAGUCCUGGGGAAACAAUGCGUAGAUCUAGCCUCUUACCCAGCAUAUGGGUCAGAGAAUGGGAAGAACCAAAGCGAGAGCAGCAGAGAGAAGCCUUCUUCUAUUUUCCUAUAAACCAUGGCUGACUUUCUUCCUUCAAGUGGUGUUUGCUCACUUGUCAUAACUGAGCAGACUAUCAUAAGCCAUAUUUUUCUCAGAUCUCCUGUUUGUACUACUUCAAUGCUAGAAAAGGUUCUUGUAGUUAAGGUUUGGUAUAUAAUAAGUUAUUUUAUGUGGGGAGUAUAAUGUGGUUCUAAUAGUCUAUUUAGCCUGCUUUUUAGAAUGGAUAGUGUUGCUACUAUUUAAAUGUUAUUCUAGUCCUUCAGCCAAAAUGCUUAUUAAAGUAUGCAAGAAUAACUUAUCCAGAGAAUUCCUUAGACAACCAAUAGACACACAUUGAAGAGAAAAACAUUGUUAAAUUACUAUUUUCUUAAGUUUUUUGGUUCACAACCUACCUAACUAACAUCUUCCAGCUUGGAAUUAGAAUGAAAUGCAAAGUGUGGCAUUGAUUUUGAAUGCGUGCUGUGGCGGACAGAGACCCAUGAUAGAAAUAGAAUAGAAUUCUGCACACACAUAUGAAUGCACCCCAGGCAUAUGGGCAUGUGGAUGUAUCAACCACUCUCCUGCACGUCUCUCCUUUGGCAAGGAACUGAAUCUUGGCAUCUUAGUUUCUAGAGUUGUUUAAUGGGCUUUAUUGCACUUAAUUUGUCUACCUCAUAGAGUUUCUUUGUUAAUCAUCUAUAAAAAAUGCAAGUCAGGCCAGGCCGGUGGCUCACGCCUGUAAUCCCAGCACAUUGGGUAGCCGAGGAGAGUGGAUCACCUGAGAUCGGGAGUUUGAGACCAGCCUGACCAACAUGGAGAAACCCUGUCUCUACUAAAAAUACAAAAAAAUUAGCCAGGCUUGGUGGCGCAUGCCUGUAAUCCCAGCUACUCGGGAGGCUGAGGCAGGAGAAUUGUUUGAACCCAGGAGGUCGAGGUUGCAGUGAGCCGAGAUCGUGCCAAUGCGCUCCAGCCUGGGCAACAAGAGUGAAACUCCGUCUCAAAAAAAAAAAAAAAAAAAAAGGCAAGUCAGGUUGUGUCACUCUCCUUUGUUGAAGCUUUCCCUGAAUCUUUUUUGUGGCUUUCUGUGAGUCUUUGAACAAACAAACAUAUCCUUACGGUGACUUCAGGGCAGCACAUGAUCUGGCCCUGUUUCUCUCACUAGCCUCCUCCUUAGUAACUCCUCUUGGUAAUGACUUCUUUUUAGCCCCCACUGGCUUUCUUUUAAAACCUUGAAUUCACCUUAGCAUACCUUUCUGAGAGAGGCCUUCUGACACCUGACAUCCGGAGCUAGGUUCCAAUCCUCUGUCGUGCUGGGUCCACGCCCCUACCAUUCUGCACUAGGUUUGGUCUUGUCUGACAUAUGCUUGAAGAGCCCCUGAAUGCCUCCUUCACCAGACUCAUCUCAGUCGUGAGCAACUUAAUUCUUUAUCUGAUUAGAUGGUAUUAGAUUAAGACUGAUCUUUUCUCCAGACUCUCAUCCCCAUCAGGGAAGGGCUGAGCUCUGACUUGUUGACACAGCCCUCCAGAACCCAGUAGACUACCAGACAUGGAACAUUUCUUAGGUGAACGAAGGAAGAGAAUAAGAUGAUGCCGGUGAUACCCAGUGUAAAACGGCAAACACCACUUACAUGUAAAAUAUUAAUUUCAUGUGUUUGAACUGAUCAAUCACAGAAGCAAACACAUAUAUGCCAUUUUUGUAAACACUUUUACAAGUAGAGAUUAUCCCAUGGGCCAGCAGGAAGACUCUCUCAGGCAAGAGGUUAAGGAAUUGUAGCACAAUUCCCCAUGGUUUUGGAAUUUGAUAUCUUUUUAACGGAAGUGCCUCGGUGUUCUAUUUCCAAGGAAACUCAUCAAUCAUAAGUACCAGAAAUGAAACAUUUAUUAACAAAAAAGAAAUUCAGGUAAUAUGUAUAUUUGCUAUUACAGUCGUCGUAUUUCUUAUUUCGAGGACAAAUGCCUUUUCCAACUCUGUAUUAACAUUUUAAAAUAAUAUUCAUUUGCAUUUUACUUCUUGAUAGCACUUAACAUCUGAAGGAUUAGGAAGGAAUUGUUCUAGCUGAUAAGUAUUGAAUUAAACUUGGAGAAACAUUUUUUUAUCUGAUGACCUUCAUCAUGGUGAAUCUGUUUAGGUUUUAGUGCAAAUCAAAUUUUUCAAAGUACUCUAGAGAGAGGUAAGAAGAUAGGGUUUUUAUCUCUGUAAUAAAUUUUGGAUUUUAAAGACUUGUUUAAGACUUAUUUGGCAUAAGUCAGUUUAAAACUCAGUCUUUAAAUUUUCUUUAAAAAGGAAUAUUCAGUAAACCAUUAUGAUUCUGAAGCAGAAUAAAAUUUGUUUAAAUUCAUAGAUGAAAGUUGGUUUUGUAAGACUGUAGUUUUCUUUCUGAAAACUUCCAUUAUAGGGCUAUCUCAUUGGAAAAUUGAAUUAAAAACAACCUUUCCCAUUAUAUCUAAACAUACACAUAAAGUUGUUUGCACAGCAUGACAAUGGAAAAAUAAAAUGAAGCAUUCUGAGCUAAAUGUUUGGAGGUGAUAUCACUCUUUGAGAAUUUACAGCUCAAGUUUAGGGCUGUUCUACAGGAAAGCCAUGUGUUUUACAGACAAGACCAUUUUUUUCCUUAAUAGGUGGUCAGUUUCUGCAACAAGUAAACCAGAACGAUUUUAGAGGUAAACAGAGAAGAUAAGAAAGAGGGUGUCCAUGUAUUUUUUUUUCCUUCUGUAAAGUUCAGAUCAUGCAUCAUCUCUAAUGAGCUUGAUAAAGCAUAGCAAGGCAAAUGUGCCAUAAUUCAUCAUGUUUUCCAUUUCAAAAGUGACAGGCAACCUACAGGAAAAAAAGUCUUUAUUUUGUAACAAUAAAAAAAGGAGGUGAGAUAAUCACAUUUAAAAUAACAUCUGCAAAGGAACUCUUAAAGUCCACAUCAAAUAUGAAAAAUUGUCUUAUAUUGGGGUUUGUUUGGUUGACAUGAUGCCAAAAAUUACCAUGAGUGCCUGUAAGCAAAAUGUUUGCUUUUAAUAUUUAAUCCAAAUCUAGUAGAAAAAAUUUAAAAAUCUUUAAAAAUUUUGACAGAGAAUGUGCUCUUAUUGUGAGAAAUGGCAAUACUUGGACUUGUUAGAAAGUUUCCAUUAGCUUUCACUCAAUGCUGUUAAACAUUACAGCACAAAAUGUCAAAAGGUUUAGAUCAAAUUUAUUCUGCAAAAAACCAUAAUGUGCUUAUAGUAAUUUUCUGAAUGUUUGCCUAUUUCUAAAAAUGGCUCAACAAAAUAGCAUCCAAAAAUGCAUCUCUUUUUGGUCCAACCAUUUUCUUUGGAAAUCAAUCACAUUUUCUUAUACCAUGGACCUGAGUAUCUUAGACCUCACACAGAGACAAGAAGAGUUGGGAACCAACUAAAUAUAUAGGAUAUAAUCACAUCUUUAAUGCCUCAAGUCAUUCUGCCUUAUCUGCAAGUAAGUGAGGGAGGAUGGAACAUGGUUUGGUCACUGUAAGAAAAAUAAAAGCUACUAUCAAAAAGAAACAUUAAUUUUUUGCAGUGUCUCAGAACUACAAACACACAUUUAAUCACAAAAUAUGUCACUUUUUCUAAUAACUCAAGAAGUCAAUUUGUCUUUACUAAGAAUUUUAAGGAUCAUGUUUAUUUAAAGUUCUAAUCUGUGAAGUAAUGAAGAAAUAACAGGAAUGGUAUGUGGGAUAGUAACUUUUUCUGUUUAGAAUAUAAGAAGUGUAUUUACACAAAGACUUAAAAUAUAGAAACACAUUUGGUUCUAAAUAAUUACAAUUAAUGAAGACCCUGAAUCUUCAUAUUGAGGUACCGAGGUCAAAGCCUCUGGGGUUAAGUUGGAAGCUGUUCUUUAUAACUUUCUUUGCACAUUAGAACACAUAAUAUUUGGUAGAUUUAGAGAAAAAGUCUGGUGGGACUUAGAAUCACUGAGUUUAUAUAGUAUGACUAGAUGUAUACUUGCAGAGCAAAUUCCAUCAUUGUUAUAUCCUUAUGUAUGAGACAAUAUCUUUUUUAUAUAAUAACAUAUUUUAUUUUAUACUUAUGAAUAUUAAAUAUUCUGUUUAAUAACAUUCCAGUUAUAACAGCUCAAUUUACUUGCCACUGAGUUAUUAAUAUGCCACGGCAUAGCAAACUUUUUUUUCUUUGGGUACUCAAGAGCUUCUUUUUAUUAUUGUCUUUGAGCUUUUUAACAGAAGAGAAAGAAAAAAUAUGAUUAUUGGCCAGAUGCAGUGGCUCACACCAGUAAUCCCAGCACUUUGGGAGGCCAAGGCGGGUGGAUCACUUGAGCCCAGGAGUUGGAGACCAGCUGGGGAAACAUGGUGAAACUCCAUCUCCGCAAAAUACACAAAUAUUAGCCGAGUGUGGUGGGGUGCGCCUGAGUCCCAGCUACUCGGGAGGCUGAGGUGGGAGGAUUGCUUGAGCCCCAGAGGCAGAGGUUGCAGUGAGUCGAGAUCACACCACCGCACCUCAGCCUGGGCAAUAGAGCAAGACCCUGUCUCAAAAAAAAGGGAAAAUAUGAUUAUUUAAAUUCAUCUAGUCAACCCAAGCUUUUUCUAUAUAAUGAAACAGCAAAUUGAAUUUUCUUCUCAAAAGUUUAUUCAUUUUUGUUAUUCCCCCAAAUAGCAUUCCUUUAAGGACGAUGGCAUUUGCUUCCUUCUUCCCUGCUCUCUCAAAUAGAGGUGGUUGAAAGUCCUUCCAGAAUUCCCUUUCCUGUUUCUCCUACUACUUUAGGAUCGCCACAGAUGAUGAAGAUAGAAAAGCUUCUCUAAAACAUGGGCUCAUUGUUGAAAAUGAUAGGUUUUACUCACGGGGACUAAUCAGUAAUAUGCCAGCCUCAUAUCAGGGACUGGGGACAUUUUCUAUCAUUGCAGACUCUCUGCAUGAUAAGUUUUUCAGUUCUCAAUUCAAGGGAAGACCUUUGGUUGACUGCAGUGCGUAUGCCUGACUGUGUUAUAUUUCAGCUGUUUCUCCUUUUCCUUCUGACCCCCUUUCCUUCCCAAAGACCAUAAUGUUCUUUCUUAGUUUAGGAAAAGAGACACUUGAAAAUUUGAUCCAGGGCUCAUACUUAAAUUAUUAACUCUUUCUUCUGAUGCCCUAAAUACUUACAUUUCUUGAUGUCCACACCUUUUCACAAAUGCUUAUCUUAUUAUUCCUUCUUACUUACUCUUCUGUGAAUAAAGUCUGAUGGAUUUAUUUUUUACCAUUUUUAAUGAAUAAAUGAUUUCAACCAUUACUUUUCCUUACUAUUUUUAUGAAUAAAUGAUUUCAACCAUUACUUUCCCUUACUUUUAUAUUUAUUGUCAAAGACCACUAAAUUAUGUGGAACUGCAAAAAGGUUUUUGAUAUGAUCUCUAGACUCUCAUAGGAUUUGAACUAAAAUUCACAAUCCAGGGUUUUAAAAAGAAGAGGAAAAACAGUAGUCUUAGUUUUUGACUCUUUUAAAUAAUACUCGUUUAGAAUUAAGUUUAACAUGGCAGAGUUAAAUAUCUAAUGAAAAAGAUCCACUGGAGUACGUGGCGAAAAUUUUUCUGGAGAUAGUAGGCUGAAAGAGGUUGGCAUUUUACACACAUCUUUGUUGAUGGAGGUGGAUUGACAAGGUGACAGUUUCUCCACAAUUCCCAGAAAGACAAAUCAUUAUUUUUAUGGGGAGGGAAAUAGGGUUGGGAAGGCACAUUUCACAAUGAUACAAUCCAUUAUUUAAAGAUAUUAGUAUCUGGCCUCUCCCCCCAUUUAAUCAGAGGCAUUGGGUCUUUCUUCAAUGUUUCUGUAUUUUUUUGAGGGGGGUGGGUGGGGGGAUUAACCGUUUCCCAGCCAGAUCUGCCAAAGGGUUAUUGUUAACCAGUCAAAGGAAGCUGGCAUCCCAACACACUGGCAAGGGCUUGCCCAUGGCUCUUUUUCUCCGCCUGUUAACUUCAUCACUCUCCAGGUGUGGUGUGAAUGGAGAACAUGUGGCCCAGCAGUUGCCAGAGGGCACGUUUUCUAAGCUCAAAGUCAGAGGCCAUUGGGCUGAGACUGCCAAGCUUUGGAACAUCAACGGGGAUUUAGUUGGAAAGGAGUCUAUACAGACGGUAUGGCUAGUGGUUGCCAAUCUCUGAAUUGUUCUUAAGUGGACCCUUUAGGACGGAUGCCCCGCUACCAUUUCCAUGCUUUGAUAACAGCAGUAGUAAAGGCAGAGUGCAGAUAGAUCAUCAUGGUUUAGUCUAUAAUGUCAUAUCCAAAAAGAAACAGAAAAAAAAAAUACCACCAAGCUCUAUUUCUGGCCUCAGGAUUUGGGGAAUUACCAAAUAUUUGAGCUUCUACUAAUUCAGGCAGCAAAACUAAUAAUCCAGCAAGUAUCUGUGUUGUUUUGCAGAAGGCAAAUGCGCUGGCUGGGAAAUCCUAUCAGACUGUACCAUUCCCAAACCAGGCAACAGAGAGCCUUUAAAUGAUCUUGGGAAGAAGGAGGGGCUGGCCAAGGUGUUGUAAGAUUAAAAGAAAAAAAAAUAAAAAAUAAAAAAGUUAAAAAAUUUCUUUUUGUGUUAAAAAAAAAAACAUGUUAAAGCUAAUUUUAUUUAAUGUUCUGAGAGGAAGCACAGAAAAACCAAAGGUGUUGGCCUUCCGGGGUAGGACUGUGGAAGUGAUGGUCAAGCAGCUUUGUUUAAAGAUGCUUACGAGAGGUAUUUAUUUCAAUCGGGGCAUAAACUUCCUUGAAAGUGUCUUUUACCCCUCGCUUCCGCUGCCGAACGUUCUCCUACCCAGAUGGGUAUCAGAAAGUGAGGUUCAGGUUUUGGCCUGCUGAGCCAGGGGAAUACUUGGUCUAACCAUUUACAACAACUGGAUUUUUCCUAUUCCAGUGUAGGAAACCUAAUUACACCCUGGUAAAUUCUCUUCAGUCUACCAAACACAGAAAAAAACAGUGACAGAAACUGAAAGGCCAGAAAAGAGAAAAGAGUCCCUAAGACCUAAUGAAUCCAAACUAAACACCUCUCCACAGAAAUGUCAAACAUUUCUCUUAGCACAAAACAAGGCUUAAAGAAUUCCCUGCUUUUGUCUCUGGCCUAAUUCCUUAAGCAGAGAGGGGGAUUUUCCUCUGGGAGUGUUAUUUCACAAAGAACGAAACAGCAAAUAAACAAAAGACUCUCAAAGAGAGAGAGAGUAUAAAUAAAAUUCAUGACUCCUUAAAGAGUUUACACUGAAAGAAUGUGGAGGAUUAUUUGCAAUUAAAGCAGAGCCUCUAGAAUACAGUUAUUUUAUAUAUAUAUAUAGAUUUAUAUAUAAAGACUGAGAGUUCAUUUCAUUUUCUUCACAAGAAAACUGCACCUAGAUACCCUUGUUUGUAAAAAAUCGUGAAACUUCAUUUUAUUGAGAUCUUUUUGUUGUAAUUUUUGUCACGUAUACAUAUAUUUUGACUUUUUAAUAUUUAAAACUUCUUACAUAUGUAGCCUAGCAAUUCCUAAUUAAUUUAUAUCUUUUUAUAAGAAAGCUACAGGUGAUGCGUGUUGCAAUUUGAUUAAAAAAUAAAUCAGCCUAAAAGACAAAGUUCCAAGAAAAAGUGGUUGUUUUUUUUUUUAGGCAUGUGUGUGUUUAAAAGCGAUUUCCUACAUUUAACAAACACCUUUAAAAUGAGUGUUUUCAGUGUUGAAAAUAUUCUUUUGGUUGAACAAAAGAAAAGUUGUGAUCUAUUAAGAAAAGAAGUUUGAGUUAACAGAAAAGGAGGAGAAAGGACAAAUUUAGAAGUGUCUAGUUUCCUGGAAAAAUCAUAUCAUAAUACAAUGGGUAGUUAAUAACAGAAAUGAGGUUAGAGAAGGGGGAAGGUGAAUAUGAAACAAACGCAAGAUUUCAGUAUUAAUGUAAUAGGCAGACAGAAAUAAAUUGUUAUUAGGAUAAAGCAGCAGAGGCUAAGGAAACUAGUUGAUUGUAAAUUAUAGAGCAAUUAGUCCUCUUUUCAAGUGUGUGUGUGUGUAUGUGUGUGUGUGUGUGUGUUUACCAGGCAUUUGAAUUCUACUUUGAGUGUGACUUAAAACGAUGUGGAUAAUAACUUUAAAAGCCGUGGUACAAGGGCCAUAUAGGCAAGAGGAGUUUAAAGGUAGAAUCCUAGUAAAAGCAUGGUCUUCUAGAGGGCUUAAGUCAUGGGCCUGGGAGAUGGGGCCAGGAUUUAGUGCUUGCAAAGUUUACAGCAGAGUUUAGAUUGAGUCUUAUCCUGACAUGCCUGUCUCAGUGAAAUAUCUGAAACAUUUGGCCCCAUGAGAUUAAAAGAACAGUGCUUAUAUUUAGCAUCUGCUGCCCCCAACUCCAACUUUGCUACUAAUAAAAUUCAGCUCUAUGGAAAAGAAUUUGAAUUCCAGCUGGGCAGUUUUCAAAAUAAGAUGAAAAGUUAAGCAGGCAAUUGGUGUGUAUUUAGGGCUCAAAACACCUUGCCCCCUAAGAAGACUUGAAGGAGUUAAUCCCUUCUCAAGAUAAUCCACUAAAGAGCAUCCUUCAUUAUGAUGUUAAAAGCAAGGAUCAGUGCCGAGGAGUCUAACAAUAGGACAGGGGGCUUUUCAGUCCCAACCACAUUCUUCCCAGGUUAGAAACAGAAACCGCUGUGAUUUCAGCUGAAAAACAGAGUAGGACUUUUCUCUUAUGUUAAAUAUUCAGAUAGAAGGAAGGGGGAGAAAUCUACCACAUUAACUAAAUUCCUCAUUGGAGAGUUUUUCUUAGCAACUAUCUUUUUUAUGUUUUAAGAAAUGAUUGCACUGUCAUGAUAGGAAUCAUUCUAUAACCCAACAGUUACACAGUUUGUAAUCACUUUUGAUUUCAUAGAAAAGUGGAUUUUUGAUUAAAUUGUGUUCAAUGACCCCUCCCCCUGUAAUAUUCAAUGAACAUAAAACUCACCAUAAACUUUUACUAAAGCUGCACCCUAACAUUGUAAUUUGGUGAAAAUUUAUCCUUUAAGAUAUAUUUUAUAUUUUUGGUCAGAUAUUUAUUUCUCAAAGAUUCUUAAUCAUCUUCUAUAAGUAACACGACAAAGUAGUGUUUGUAAACAAAUGAAUAUUAAAAAAAGAUUUUAAAAUCUAGUAUUUACUAUAUUUUAGUACUUUUUAAGUAUUGUAUUUAAGUAAAUACAAUUUACUAUUUGAAAAGGUCUAAAUGUUGUUUUCAAAAUAUUUUAUAAGAAAUUUUUUAAAUUAAAAAGAUGUCUGUAAACAUCUUAACUAUAAGUUCAUCUCUUAGGUAAAUCAGAUGGAAAAGUUGGGCCGUUCCACGCUAAAGGAAAUGUUUCUUUAAAAAAUUUCCUUUUUAUUCAAAGUAUAAACACAUUUUUGAAAGACAUGUUUGUUUUUAAGGAACUUUAUUCUGACCAAAUUGGAUCAAGACAGGGAAAGAUUUUUUUAAGAAGUGUUUUUCAAGGGGAAUCAACUGCAUGCAUAAACGUAUGUUGUCAUUGCCUCCCAUGAGCUCCGCUGUGUGCCUGUGAUGUUCCAGGCAGCUGGCCUCUGAAGACCUGGGAGCUGAGGUUGCCGCCCUGAAGGAGCUGGAGGUGGACAAGCCCCUUUUGGGGAAUUCAGCUGGGCAUGUGUUGGGGUGACAGUAGAUCACUGGAACGAGUGGGACUAUUUAAAAGAGGAAGAGGCAAAGACUGCUGUGAUUUGGAUUUGGUGGGCUCAAAGAGUCAUCUGAAAACCCCAGUAAGACAAAGAAUUUGAAAGAGAGAAGUGUAUCUAUAAUAUAUAAAUAGAAGUCUUUGGGACAUGGGUGAAGACUUCAUAUAUGGAUAUAUAGCUCACAGCUGGUAAGCCAUCACGAAGCUGGUGAUGUAGUAAAGGCAGAAUUUUAAACAGAAUUUUAUGAAUGUUUUAUUUUCAUAAGAAACGUCAUGGAAGGGGAAAGAUUUUGGGGGUAAGAUUUGUUUCCUUAUAUGUGUUAUGUGGGAAUAACUACACUUGAACUCCAGGCUAGUAUGAAGAUUCUUAGAGCGCCUGUCAAAGCCCGUUAUCUCAAUACACCCAUAAUAAAGAACAGAGGUCUGAAGUUUUUGCAGACCCUUUGUGUCCUCAUUAUGUGACUUUAGGCAAGUCCCCUUGUCUUCCUAAGUCACAGUUUGUUGUCAUCUGUCAAGUGAGAAUGGUAUCAACUCACAGAGUUGCUGAGAAUAUAAUAUAAUAUGGUCCAUAAAUAACCCAGUGCUUGGCUCAUGUAAGACCUCAAUUAAUUCUUGCUUUUGCCAAAACAACAAUUAAAAUAUACAUACUGCAAAAUGUCAGGCAUAUAGCAAAUGUGCAUGAAAAAUCAGAUUCUCUUUCUUGUAAAUAUAUGCUUCCUUUUUUUCUUUCCUUUUCUUUUUUUUUUUUAUUUUUUUAUUUUUUUGAGACAGAAUCUCGCUGUGUCCCCCAGGCUGGAGUGCGUGGCGCCAUCUCGGCUCACUGCAACCUCUGCCUCCCAGGUUCAAGUGAUUCUCCUUUCUCAGCCUCCCAACUAGCUGGGAUUACAGGUGUGAGCCACCAUGCUCGGCUAAUUUUUUGUAUUUUUAGUAGAGACGGGGUUUCACCGUGUUAGCCAGAAUGGUCUCGAUCUCCUGACCUCGUGAUCUGCCCGCCUCAGCCUCCCAAAGUGCUGGGAUUACAGGCGUGAGCCACAGCGCCCGGCCGGGCUUGGACUCUUAGCUAUAUUAGCUGCUUUAUGAAUGGGGACUUCUGGCUUCCACCACUGUUCUGAGGGACUCUGCAGUCAGGUCUGGAAAUUAUAGUUACUCCUUAACAGCCACUCCCCUGAGUGGGCUGAGGAAUUGGGCUAAAGGCCUAAACAUGGGGCUUGUGCACCUGCCAUAGGAUAAAAUGUCCUGUAAGCGAAUGACUUAGACUUCUGCCUUGAGGAGAGAGGGUAGGUGGGGUUGGGAGAGUACCUUGACAUUGCUUCGGGAAGCUGUAUUCCCUAACAAACAGGUCAAAGAUUGAAUCUGAAUAUUUUUCACCUUCCUAGAGUAUCAUGCAUUGAAUAAGUGUUCAAUAACUACUAAUUGAAUUGAAUUCAUUUGACAAAAUAAAAGAAAAAAGUAUGGGUCAAGAAAUUUUCUUAGGUUAAGAAGCAAUCUUGAAUUCACAGCUUAAUCAAUAAUGAUUUGCAGAUUCAUUAUUCUCCAACUCUCAGUCGGUACUUCUGGCUGCUUAGUUAUUUUUAAACCUUUACUAGGUACAUAAAUACUUCCCUCUUUAAUGAGAACGAAGCUGGGAAGCCGGUGCUCUAUCAUUAAGUUCCAUUUUAUUCACAAAUGUUUCAGUUUGUGGAUCGCCCUUUAAAAAGUCAUUAAUUUGUCACCAUUUUUCUUAUCCUCUUUAAAAAUAAGGAAAAGAAAAAGGAAGACACUCUUACUGGUCAGAGGAGAGAACACAAUUCCUUCAGUGGAACCAGUAAUUCAAGCUACUGCAUAUGCCAAUUAAAGACCAAUUUGGGGAAAGGUGGAUGCCCUGGGCUCCAUCUGCCAUUCAACCACUGAUUACGGCCUUGUACGGAUGGACUUUCAGCAGCAGGAACCCAAAAUCAUUGGUGAAAUAGGAAAGCUAUUGUACAGAUGUUAGAAAAAUAAGACCUUCACAGUCAUCAGAAAAGUUAUCACUUAAUGUCAUGUGUCAUCAGUCCUUCUUUCUUGUGAUUGAUUAUGUUUGUAUACAUGCACUUGAAAUGUGUUUUUAAAAGAGUAUUAUAAGAGAUAUUUUUCCAAUAAGUACAACAAGUAUUCAAUAAUAGAACAAAUAGAACAUUGAUAUCUCAUUAUUAGUAUUGCUCACAUCUAUAUUAUGAGGCAGAAUUAAAGUUGAAAUGCAAUAAGAGCCAUAUUUUAUCAUAAUAGAUAUUUUUCAUUUUCUGAAAUAAUAUAAUAAAAUAAUGUGGUUGGUUAAAGUAUGUACACACAGGCUAUCAAUUAAGAUGUUUUAAAUUUAAUUAAAUAUUAAAUAAUAAAAGCCACAAGGGGAAGUAAGGGAAGUAAGACAAUUCUUUCUUUAACAUACAACACAUUUAAAUGUUUUCUGAUAAUUAUAGAAAUAUCAAAAUCAGAUCAAUCUUCAUACCUCAGAAAAUUAAAUGAUUAAAUACUGGGGACUAUUAAAACAAAUAAAACUGUUUAUUCCACAACUUUGCACAGCUAAAAAAAAAUCUUCUAUCAUGUCUAGAAACACGUUUCUGACAUAUGCACACCUCACCAGCAUACCUCAGGUUAUUAUACACCUCCAACCACAGCCUCACGGUGGCAGGCAGUCAGUAAGAUGGACCCCAGUGAUCCCUGCCUCCUGGUAUUCACAGUCUAGGGUAAUCUCCUUCCCUGAGUGUGAGCCUGUGGCUUACUUCUAACCAAUAAGAGUACAGAAAAAGCAAUGGGAUGUCAAUUCUGUGAGUUUGUAAAAUUGUAACUUCCAUCUUGCAAGCUAACUCUCUUCUUUGCUGGCUUUCAUGACGCAAUAUACCAUGUUGGAGAGGCUCGCGUGGCGAAGAACUGAGAGGCCUGUAGGAACGAAGUCCAAUAGCCAGGUAGGAAGGAGUCCCUCAGUCCCACAACCCAAGGAAACUGAAUUCUGUCAACUAACACGCAUGUAAGUGAGCUUGGAAGUGACUUGUUCCCCAAGUGAGUCUUCAGAUGAGGUCCUAGCCAACUUUUUGAUUGCAGCUUGUGACACACCCUGAAGCAAAGGACUCAGCUAAGUUGUGUCCUAAUUCCUCCACUGUGAGAAAAUAAAUGUGUGUUUUUUAAAAUGCUAAAUUUGUGGUAAUUUUUAUUCAGUAAUAGAUAGCUAAUACAUGCAUGUACAUACAAACACAUGCACACACACAGUAUUUGGCUUUCACACUGAGGAGAACACAGUUAGUAGGCCCUUUUCAUGUGGCUUUUAAGGUAGCACAAUUACUUUUCUUCGUCUGUGAUCCACCUU
Pan troglodytes (chimpanzee) is the source of this 40010-nucleotide RNA transcript. RefSeq lists it as uncharacterized. Lineage: Eukaryota; Metazoa; Chordata; Mammalia; Primates; Hominidae. The record is from RefSeq and is a predicted model, not a curated record. The transcript has 8 exons.